UUGGGAGACGAUGAUUCUA
RNAcentral lists this small nuclear RNA (19 nucleotides) under Arabidopsis thaliana (thale cress). RNAcentral describes it as "snRNA_15173". The record is from RNAcentral. Lineage: Eukaryota; Viridiplantae; Streptophyta; Magnoliopsida; Brassicales; Brassicaceae.